GUGAGGAAUAUUGGACAAUGGGCGCAAGCCUGAUCCAGCCAUGCCGCGUGCAGGAAGACGCAUCUAUGGUGUGUAAACUGCUUUUGUACGGGAAGAAACACUCCCUCGUGAGGGAGCUUGACGGUACCGUAAGAAUAAGGAUCGGCUAACUCCGUGCCAGCAGCCGCGGUAAUACGGAGGAUCCAAGCGUUAUCCGGAAUCAUUGGGUUUAAAGGGUCCGUAGGCGGUUUAAUAAGUCAGUGGUGAAAGCCCAUCGCUCAACGAUGGAACGGCCAUUGAUACUGUUAGACUUGAAUUACAAGGAAGUAACUAGAAUAUGUAGUGUAGCGGUGAAAUGCUUAGAUAUUACAUGGAAUACCAAUUGCGAAGGCAGGUUACUACUUGUGGAUUGACGCUGAUGACGAAAGCGUGGGGAGCGAACAGGAUUAGAAACCCGGGUAGUCC
RNAcentral lists this ribosomal RNA (444 nucleotides) under uncultured bacterium. Its description in RNAcentral is "partial 16S ribosomal RNA". It matches the Rfam family "Bacterial small subunit ribosomal RNA", at positions 354 to 796 of the family's 1533-position model. The record is from RNAcentral.